This is a long non-coding RNA of Alligator sinensis (Chinese alligator), 1213 nucleotides long. RefSeq lists it as uncharacterized. Lineage: Eukaryota; Metazoa; Chordata; Crocodylia; Alligatoridae. The record is from RefSeq and is a predicted model, not a curated record. The transcript is spliced from 3 exons.
UUCCGCACACACCUACUAUAUACACACUAAAAUUUAAAUGCAACAACGCUGGCACGCACAGUGAAAAACCACACCAUAUCUUCUGUCCCCCCAUACACUUUGUCAGUCUCUCAUGCCUACACCACCAAUGGCACUUUGGACAACUCGCCUCCCAAAUGCACUUAGUAUUGCCCUUACAGCACAACUCGUAUCAAACACCAACACGGUGCACCAUCAACACGCUUCUCAGCACCCCUCAGCCUUCUAAUAAGCUGCAAAUCCCCAACCACACUUCAACUCCAACCAGACUCUAAGUGUAUAGGUGCGCCUGCCACUUUAAGAACCCAGAGCUACCACCACUCAGGUGCUUGAUGAGCGCAGCCAUUUUGAAUCUCUUUCUUCCUAUAUAAACAGGGCAGUUGGCUGGCGCCACACCUAGGAAGAACCUCUCUUCAGUGAGGGCCUCCCGAUAUCACCUCCAGAGGAGCCACCUUGCCAAGGCUUCAGACACCGAAGACAAGGUGAUGAGCCGCAGAGAUGGCGGUGCACAAAAUGGGCUGCUGUCUUGUGACUUCCCCGGAUGCGUGGUGUGAGGCCUCUGCCCCUGUGACAUCACCUGUGUGGAGCCUGUGGUGGGUUUGAGCUUCCUUGGUGAGCUGUGAGGUCUUUGUCUUCCUGUCUGACCACUUGUUCUAUCAUGUUUCCAGGAGCUGCUGUGUGUGUAUCUAUCUUUGUAGGUCAAACUGUGUCUAUGCGGCUACUGUGACGUGUCACGUUUGGAGUGCCUGUGAGUAUCCAGCUCCGUGAGGCUGCAGACAAGCCUUUGAGAGCUUGUGUAGUGAAUAGGGGCCUGGGAUGUGUGCGGUGGAGGCUGAGAGAGGAGCUUUCCCCGUCUCUGACUUUGUGCCCUUGCAUCCCCUCUUUGGGCUGACUAGCUUUCUGUUCUUUUUCCAGAAGCCUGUAUGUGUCUUGUGGGGGCAGAUGCAUGCAGGGAGUUCUGUGCCAUGCUGAUGGAAGAUUAAGGAAAACAAUGCUCAAAGGGUUUUGGCCUCCUGCGUUGCCCCAGAAGCUUGCUGGUGUAAGCCUGGGUUGGCCUUACGCUGCCUGUGAGUCCUUGUUGUUGUGUAAAGGCUGAAAAUAGCCUUCGAGUAGAUAGGUGGUUUCAGGGUUUGCCCCUGACAUGUGGGUGCAGAUUUUGCCCUUGAGUUUGCGGAGCCAGAGCAGCGGCUGCUUG